This 291-nucleotide long non-coding RNA is filed under the name Papio anubis (olive baboon). RNAcentral's name for it is "lncRNA (ENSPANG00000047706.1)". Lineage: Eukaryota; Metazoa; Chordata; Mammalia; Primates; Cercopithecidae. The record is from RNAcentral.
GCCCGGGAGCCGGAGGUGGAGGAGGAGGUGGGAAGGUCGGCGCUAUGCGGCGGGAACCUGCCAAGGGGCGCCAGGAGGUCCUCCCCGCGGAGGAUCCGAAAUCUGAAGGCGCGAAAAGGCUUGGAGCUGGAGGUGAUGGCCAAUACAUUUCUUCUCGGCCCCUUCCAGUUCGUCCAUAAUUUCCUGGCGCAGCUCCGGGAAAAGGUGCACGAACUGCAGGCGCGGCGGUUCUCCACCAGGACCACUCUCGGCAUCGCUGUCUUGUGGCAAUUUUACAUUGGUUACAUUUAG